This 132-nucleotide small nucleolar RNA is filed under the name Mesitornis unicolor (brown roatelo). Its description in RNAcentral is "Small nucleolar RNA SNORA44". It matches the Rfam family "Small nucleolar RNA SNORA44". From Rfam's summary of the family: ACA44 is a member of the H/ACA class of snoRNA that guide the sites of modification of uridines to pseudouridines. Lineage: Eukaryota; Metazoa; Chordata; Aves; Mesitornithiformes; Mesitornithidae. The record is from Rfam by way of RNAcentral.
CCGCAUGUUUUAUCCAAGAGCUGUGGCUCUGUGCAGUAGCUGCAGGUCUCCAACAACAUGCGAGAGCAACGGGAAGGUCUUUGACUGCUGGGCCCCUUUUGCCUCUUGCUGUCACUCGCCCCUCCUAUAUGU